Molecule: transfer RNA, 59 nt
Filed under: Folsomia candida
Lineage: Eukaryota; Metazoa; Arthropoda; Collembola; Entomobryomorpha; Isotomidae
Rfam family: tRNA
About the family: Transfer RNA (tRNA) molecules are approximately 80 nucleotides in length.
Source: Rfam by way of RNAcentral
GUGGCGCAAUGGUAGCGCGUCCGACUCCAGAUCGGAAGGCUGCGUGUUCAAAUCACGUC